GGGGCUGCCCAGAACCCACGGUGCUUUGUGACCCGUGGCUCCCAGGAGAGCCUUUGUGAUGCUGGGCAACUACACGGAACCCUGGCUCCAGUGUGACACCAGCACAGAAGCUCGGGGAGCCCUGGAGACCGUGGGGACGCUAUGAAACCUGAUGGAACCCUGGCUCCACUGUGACACCAGCACAGAAGCUCGGGGAGCCCUGGAGACCGUGGGGAUGCUAGGGAAGCUGACGGAAGCCUGGGCACCACAGUGACGCUGUGGAACCUGGUGGAACCGAGGGGCCACAGUGACACUGUGGGGCCUUUUGGAAGCAAGGAGACCCUGGUGGGAAGCCACGGGAUGAUUAAUGCUGGCAGGAACCUGCUCCAGGUGGGCUCCUCUCUCCCGGCUUGCACAGGUGCUGCUAGGAUGCCACUGCGGCACUGGCUUGUCACGGGCUCACGGCUUCCUUUGGGAAUGGCUCUGCUCCAGGAUGGCAUGCUGCAGAGAAUGCAGGUAGAUUUUGUGCUCCCUCCUGGCAUGCAGGUGGACAAGAAAGCCUGAUGCAGCCCCCCCUCAGCCCAUGUCCGGCUGUGUCAUUGGGGCGGGGGAACUUUGGGAGCAGCCCCAGCCCUGCUCCUGGUCCCGGCUGGGCACGCAGCUGCUGGGACACAGGUGCUUGGACUCAGGGAUACCGAAGGUGUGUGAAAGUGACUGGGCUGCGAGAAUCAUGUUGCACAGGGAAGAGGGAAGGUCAGCAAAUGUCUCCUGUCCUGGCACAUGGCUCAGUCUGAACUGCAGCUGGAGAUGCUUCACUUCCGCCAAGGACUCUGCCACCUGGAGAGAAGGAUGCGCUCUAUGGAGUUGAGAAAGAAAGUGCGUAUCACUAGCUUGUUUCCUCUAGUUCCUAGACAGCAAAGGGGCUAUGAAAGGCAGCACUGGCUUUUUGUUCUAGGACUUUUUCUUGACAAGCAGCUGCUGGAUGUUUGGAAGGGGGUUUGGCAUAUGCAAAAAUGAGAGGGUAAGAUGGUCCACUGAGCUUGAGAGAAGAAGCAUAUCUUCAGGGAUUUGGAUGCAUUUCAGAGGGUGUGAGUUCCAUGCUGAGCAGCUGAUGGCACAGAAAAGGUUCUAAAGAAAGAGGCCGUGCUGGAAUUGCCUUUUCUUUUGCAGCCUAGAAACUGCACAGCCAACAGCAAAAACGAUUCCUCCUCCCUCCCUGCACCAUGCAGGAUCCCAUUCCUUUAUGUCUCCAAGAGGCAGGAUGCACAGCCGAGCUCUUCCACCACAGUGAUCUUCCAUUUGGGAUUGCUGGGGACAGCUUGGACCAGAACAGUAUCCAUGAGGCUGUGGCAUUGGAUGGGAUUCAUCCCAGUAUGUCCCAGCAGGAACCCCCUAAAUCAUCUACCCAAGCUCCUGAAAGCCCAAGGAGGUCCAUGCUGGCUCAAUGCUCUCCAGCUGUAUGCGACUUGACAGCAA
Molecule: long non-coding RNA, 1455 nt
Filed under: Corvus moneduloides (New Caledonian crow)
Lineage: Eukaryota; Metazoa; Chordata; Aves; Passeriformes; Corvidae
Description: lncRNA (ENSCMUG00000017431.1)
Source: RNAcentral